GAUGAACGCUGGCGGCGUGCCUAAUACAUGCAAGUCGAGCGAACGGACGAGAAGCUUGCUUUUCUGAUGUUAGCGGCGGACGGGUGAGUAACACGUGGAUAACCUACCUAUAAGACUGGGAUAACUUCGGGAAACCGGCGCUAAUACCGGAUAAUAUUUUGAACCGCAUGGUUCAAAAGUGAAAGACGGUCUUGCUGUCACUUAUAGAUUGUUCCGCGCUGCAUUAGCUAGUUGGUAAGGUAACGGCUUACCAAGGCAACGAUGCAUAGCCGACCUGAGAGAGUGAUCGGCCACACUGGAACUGAGACACGGUCCAGACUCCUACGGGAGGCAGCAGUAGGGAAUCUUCCGCAAUGGGCGAAAGCCUGACGGAGCAACGCCGCGUGAGUGAUGAAGGUCUUCGGAUCGUAAAACUCUGUUAUUAGGGAAGAACAUAUGUGUAAGUAACUGUGCACAUCUUGACGGUACCUAAUCAGAAAGCCACGGCUAACUACGUG
RNAcentral lists this ribosomal RNA (497 nucleotides) under uncultured bacterium. Its description in RNAcentral is "partial 16S ribosomal RNA". It matches the Rfam family "Bacterial small subunit ribosomal RNA", at positions 28 to 507 of the family's 1533-position model. The record is from RNAcentral.